This 1737-nucleotide long non-coding RNA is filed under the name Betta splendens (Siamese fighting fish). RNAcentral describes it as "lncRNA (ENSBSLG00000016756.1)". Lineage: Eukaryota; Metazoa; Chordata; Actinopteri; Anabantiformes; Osphronemidae. The record is from RNAcentral.
CUAAUUUCGAUUUAAUUGAUUCAACUGUCUGAGGAGAAGUGGCGGUUCACCCAACAGUUACAAUUACAACCCUUCACCAUACAAAAAGACACUUAGUGACAUCAAUGGCCCUCUAACACACGCUGGACCGUAUAACAACAUCUACAGAAUCACAGGAUUAUAAUUCUCUAGUGUUAUUUCCAGCCACAGUCCAGGAUUUACAGUGGUAGUCAUUGAAGCCCCUUGUUAUCUAACUAUCCUGGACUUGUGCUGACAGGUGAAAAAUAAAAACAUGUCUGUCUUAUAUGACUGGUCAUUGGGAUGGCUCAAAUAAUGGUAGAAUUUGUAAAAAAAAAAUCUACCUGUAAGAAUUCAGUACAAAGGUAAACAUGUACAACAUCAACAUCUGUCACUAGUUUAUAUUUACACUGAAUUAACAGAAGUGGAGAGUAGCCAUACAAAAAAAAAGGUAGAGUGUCCAUUUUAUGGCCACACGAAAUGUGAGAUUUAAUCUCUCUAAUGGCCACUCGGAAUAAACAUUGCUAGAUUUGGCUUAAGGUAGAAAAUCUGACCAAUUAUUUGAAUAAAUUUAUUUUUUCUCACAAUCAGAAGGUUCAUAUACAAUUAAUGUAUUUAUCCUUUAACACCCCCUGCCCCAGACCCCCCCCCCCACCCACCCACCCAGACACACAAACACGUACGCACACACACAGCCCCUACUUUGAGGCCUCAUUAAGUCUCAGCUCUACAGAGGAUGGAGGAUAAACUCUGCUUCUUGCCCGUUGGUCUUCGGGGUUCGAUUCUCAUUGCUGGUCUGACUUCAGCAGCGUGUUAAGGACUGAAGAAACAAACACAUAAGAAACAUUCAUGAUAAGGAUCAACAUUUGGUGCUACCUGUGCUUGUAUUCAACGUGUGUGUUUGUGUGUGUGUCAUACCCUGGGGAUCUGACUGAGCCUCUGCUGCAUCGGCUUUGCGUCCGGCUUCUGGAUCAGCUUCUAGUCACAGACGGAGAGAGAUUCAAUUCUAUGCAGAGUAUGGAUCCCUUUACAGUGUUCCUUGUGGCAAGUUGGACAGAGAUGGAUUUAUCCCACUUCUGUAAUUGUCCAGAACAGGAAGGUUCUGUCACACUGCCCGGCUCUGGUUGGGGGUCGUCAACUACAGGAGAAGGUUCUGGUGUGCUGUCAGGAUCCGGUUCGGGGUCGUCAACUACAGGUGAAGGUUCUGGUUGGGGGUCGUCAACCACAGAAGAUGGUUCUGGUGUGCUGUCAGGAUCCGGUUCGGGGUCGUCAACUACAGGAGAAGGUUCUGUCGCACUGUCAGGAUCCGGUUCGGGGUCGUCAACUACAGGAGAAGGUUCUGUCGCGCUGUCAGGAUCCGGUUCGGGGUCGUCAACUACAGGAGAAGGUUCUGUUGCGCUGUCAGGAUCCGGUUGGGGGUCGUCAACUACAGGAUCUGCUUUGACGUCAUCAGCUGCAGAAUCUGCUUCAGCAUCAUCAGCUACAGGAUCUGCUUCAGCAUCAUCAGCUACAGGAUCUGCUUCAGCAUCAUCAGCUACAGGAUCUGCUUCAGCAUCAUCAGCUGCAGGAUCUGCCUCGACGUCAUCAGCUGCAGAAUCUGCCUCGACGUCAUCAGCUGCAGAAUCUGCUUCAGCGUCAUCAGCUGCAGAAUCUGCUUCAGCGUCAUCAGCUGCAGAAUCUGCUUCAGCGUCAUCAGCUGCAGGUUCUGCAGGUGUUUCCUGUAUUCAGCAAAAUAUUUGA